UGUAAAUUGGGCUUGUGAUUCAUGUUGAUAUUUGUUCAAUAUUCUCAGGCCCACUCGACAAAGAAACAGCUGUUUUUUGGACUUUCCAGAAAUAUCAUCUUCAGAAAAAAAAACGCAGUUGGUGAAACACGAUCAACACAAAUCAUCGAAGGUUAUAUAUCAUAGGCUCAUCGAAACAGCUAACUAAAAAUCAAUUUUUUUGAGAAGGUUUGCAUGUCGAAUCCGAAGAACGAUCUGUUUAAUCCAAGGUUGAUUCUGUUCGUUUCAUAUGUCUGAAGAAGUUCUGAAAAAUUAUCUCUCAAGUCUCAAGACAAAAAGAAGAAUUGGAUUUAGAGGAUCCCGAAACAUCAAUCUCUUCAGAUCGUAUAGAUUCCGAUAGCUAUUAUUGGUUCUGUUUGAUGCAUAAGCUUAUUUGAACUUCUAAUUGUGACAAUCUUACCCGUCAUCAGAUAAGUAUCUAUUUAGCAUAUAUAUUCUACAUUCUACUUUGAUAAAAAAAUUGUUAAAGACUUGGACACGAUUUUUUUUUGAUGUCUUCACUUUCUUAUACAGGCAAUUAUAUGCAAUAAAUGAUCAAAUACAAAGUACUAUAGGGUAUUACAAAUGGCAGCAACAGAAGCUAAAACAAAAAAAAUAAGCGUUUAAUAUGUAUUUGAUUGAUAAUCUAAAAAGAAUGAAACAAUACUGAAGCGAUCUAUACUUACAUUUCUGUCUGUGAAGGCGGGGAUUACUUUCACUUGAAUACACCAGCUGGUUUUGAAUGAUUUCACGUCAGAAAGAAUCCAAUAAAAGUUGAACCUUGGGUGUCGAUGGGAUGAAACAUUUAUAAAUAUACAAAGAUUUGGUACAUAUAUUGUCUAAAAAUGUAAAUAAAUGUAUUUUACCAAUCGAACGUUCACGAUGCAUUAUGUCUGGAUAGGAAAUCUAUACUAUUAUUUGCGAAGUGAUUUUUUGCAA
Raphanus sativus (radish) is the source of this 957-nucleotide long non-coding RNA. RefSeq lists it as uncharacterized. Lineage: Eukaryota; Viridiplantae; Streptophyta; Magnoliopsida; Brassicales; Brassicaceae. The record is from RefSeq and is a predicted model, not a curated record. The transcript has 3 exons.